AACCGGAGGGAAACUCAAUGCACAGACCCUGAUUUGCAACUUGUAAUGUAAAUCAACUCAACUGCAUCAUGUACUUACCAGCCACCUUCUCCCAACUGUGGCCGGGGCCGAGAAGCAGCAUGUUCUGUCCAUCUGUAAAAGGCCUUCUUUCUCUCUUAAGACGUCACAACUGGUUGUUACUGAGAACUUUAGAAAAACGACUAGAUCGUUUGGCUCUUUCUGGGCCUUCCACCUACACUCCAUGCCCUCUCUCCUCCCAAGAAAACACGAAUUAAAAUACAGGGAGUAUCAACCGCAUCCUGCCAACAC
RNAcentral lists this long non-coding RNA (309 nucleotides) under Homo sapiens (human). RNAcentral's name for it is "non-protein coding TARID:21". The record is from RNAcentral. Lineage: Eukaryota; Metazoa; Chordata; Mammalia; Primates; Hominidae.